GCCUGGCUGGCUCAGUCAGUAGAGUGUGUGACUCUUGAUCUUGGGGUUGUAAGUUCGAGCCCCACGCUGGGCG
Molecule: non-coding RNA, 73 nt
Organism: Ailuropoda melanoleuca (giant panda)
Lineage: Eukaryota; Metazoa; Chordata; Mammalia; Carnivora; Ursidae
Source: Rfam